CACAUGGUGCAACCCAAAAUCAACCAAAUGGGUGGAAAAACUGUUAAAUCUGGUAACACUAAUGAAGAAUACUGGUGUAAAGUGUAAGGCAUAGGUGUCAAACUCAAUUCCCGGAGGGUCGCAGCCCUGUAGAGUUUAGUUCCAACCCUAAUUAAAUGCACCUUACUCAGCUAAUCGAGUCCUUAAGGUUUAUUUGAAAGUUAAAGGUAUGUUUCCUGGAGCAGGGCUGAGCCCCUUCAGGAACUGAGUUUGACACCUCUGGUGUAAGGUGUUUAAUUAUUAAUAUAUUUUUUUUCUCUCUCAUCAGGUCUUUCAAAUUUGCCUGCUCUUUAUUCCAAACCUCGACCACACAUACAGACAAACACACUCACUCACUCACUCACUCACUCACUCACACACAAUAAAGGCACUUUUAAGAGCCACGUCUGUCCUGUUUACCUGUCUGUGCUGUAGUUUACUUGUCACUCUCUUUUUAGCUCUCUCUAUAUCUUUAUCUCUAUUUUCAUCUUUAUUUGUUUUAUUUGACCAUCCUUCCAGUUCUCUUAAUAGUUCCUAAAAAUCCUCUUUAUCGUAACAGUUUGUCCAUCUGUUGUUUGUUUUUGUGUAUAUUUCUUGUCUAGUCAUGACAAGGCCCAAAUUCAGGCCCUGCCCUUCUUGCCAGACUCCCAAUCAGGCAAGCAGGAAAACUUGUCAUGUCUGCUUUGGAAGCCUGUCCACCAAAAACAAAAUAAAAGAAAAAGUGGCAUCACUGGAUAGCCAGUGGGGGAAAUCUGUCCUUAAAAGCAGAAAUGCUGGGCGUAUAAUUGAUUCUGAAGUUAAAAAGUUCAUAUUUCAUACAUUAUUGUGAAGUGAAACCGAAAGGCCAUGUUUUUGACAUACUAAAUAUCAUACUAAUAUGAUCUGGCCUUUACAAACAUAUUUACAUACAUCUUAUUUCAUACAUGGAAGAAGCCAUCUUUACUUAUACAUUUUGUUAAAGAGUUACUAAAUUGUAUUCUGUGUCAAGUAUUAAGUAAGUCAUGAUGGCAAUGGCAGAAACUAGCAGUACCUCUGUCCUUACCUUAUAUUGAUGAUCGAUUGUAUACAGUUCAAGAGUAAUGUGUCUUCUAAAAUAAUCUUAAUGAAACGGGUUAUGGCUCAUUUUCUUGCAUUGUUUUUCAUUAAAUGAAAUUUAUUUAACAGUACUGAUGUUUCUAAUAGAUCAGUGGGUGUACUGUAACUAAUUAAUGUGUCUAAUAACUAAUGCAGUUUAAUAACUGCUUUUGUUCAUUUCAGGUGCUGAAACUUGAGGCUAUCGGAUACAAGCCAAUUUUAUUUAUUGGGAAACAGGACAAAAGUGCUUCAAAUAAGUGGGUGGCAGAUAUUAUCACGCAUCUGCACCCCACUCCUGUCACCAAAGUGUUUUUGGAGAAGAUGCGGAGGGCUUAUGAGUUUAUCUUAACAAAAGCAACCUCCACAGCCCAGCAGCCGGAGAGCGUCCCCGCGUCACCAAGCAACCUGAAACUGUAUUUGUUCUCAAUCUUGUUCCUGUGCCUUGCUCGCUCUCUCCAACCUCUCUCUGUCCUCCUUCCUCUGCUACUUCUACAACUGUUCUUCCCUCACUUUCUUCCCCUCUUCCACCUCCACUGUGGCAGAGGAAAAGAAGGUUAAACACCUUUACCACGUCAAACUCUACCACCCCUGUCUCUCCUCCAUAUCCAUCUGCCUCUUCCAUUUCCAAGCCUUUGAGUCAGGAGGUGCCACUGGUAAAGAACAGAAGAAAAGGUUGUCAAAAAUGUAGUAGGCAGAAGGUUUUCCUUUUUGAUAAAAUAACUGGGGAACGAAUAAAUGAGGGGAAAGCUGAAUUGAAAGUUCACUGGUUGCCUUGCACUGUGUGUGGCAAAACCUGGGAUGACACAUGGGAGCCUGCGAGUGAAUUCCAACACAUUGUGCCAAAGUCCCCACAUCCCAACCAGCUUUCAGCAUGACAACAUGGUCACCAUAAACACCUGGACUCAUCAAGCACCCUUCAAUGCAGUUCAUUUUUGAGUGUUUUUUCUUGCUGUUUGUUCUUCAGUAAAGUUUUUGUACAGUA
RNA transcript from Carassius auratus (goldfish), 2074 nucleotides. RefSeq lists it as uncharacterized. The record is from RefSeq and is a predicted model, not a curated record. Lineage: Eukaryota; Metazoa; Chordata; Actinopteri; Cypriniformes; Cyprinidae. The transcript is spliced from 5 exons.